This 285-nucleotide ribosomal RNA is filed under the name Salmonella enterica. RNAcentral's name for it is "partial 23S ribosomal RNA". It matches the Rfam family "Bacterial large subunit ribosomal RNA", at positions 2663 to 2925 of the family's 2925-position model. The record is from RNAcentral. Lineage: Bacteria; Pseudomonadati; Pseudomonadota; Gammaproteobacteria; Enterobacterales; Enterobacteriaceae.
UGAGGGGGGCUGCUCCUAGUACGAGAGGACCGGAGUGGACGCAUCACUGGUGUUCGGGUUGUCAUGCCAAUGGCAUUGCCCGGUAGCUAAAUGCGGGAGAGAUAAGUGCUGAAAGCAUCUAAGCACGAAACUUGCCCCGAGAUGAGUUCUCCCUGAGACUUAGAGUCUCCUGAAGGAACGUUGAAGACGACGACGUUGAUAGGCCGGGUGUGUAAGCGCAGCGAUGCGUUGAGCUAACCGGUACUAAUGAACCGUGAGGCUUAACCUUACAACGCCGAAGCUGUU